CCUGGCAAAAAUCCAGACACAGAAGGCACAUAAAAGGGGUGAAUAGAAAAACAAUCGAGAAUUGAAAGGUGGAAAAACAAAUGUAGGUAACUACAGACAAUUAUGUGAAAGCAUAAGAACUAACCAUAUUUAAAUCACCUAAAAGCUUAUUCAUCCUUAAAUUAAAAUUCAACAGAGCUUGGAUUAGACAAGCUUCCUGAAUAAGACAAAGUACAGAGACUCUUUCUUCAGCCAUUGUGCUUUAUGAGCAUAAGAUUCAUCCGCUUCUAAGGAUAUCUUAAUUUCUAUGAUUCCAUCCAACCCUAUUUCAUUAUCAGCCUUUGAUUUAUAGAAUGUUCAAAAUGAUGUGGUAGUAGAAAAAGGUUUAUAAGAAUGUUCAUCAUAAAAUUCCAUAUAUUUUUCAGAUAAGUUAAAAACUCAAAAUGGAAAUUUAUUAAUCUCAAAUGGAUUAUAAUGAUAUGCCCUUCCACUUAAGGCACCUAAUGCAUUUACAGAGACUCUUUCUUCAGCUAUUGUGCUUUAUGAGCAUAAGAUUCAUCCACUUCUAAGGAUAUCUUAAUAUCUAUGAUUCCAUCCAACCCUAUUUCACUAUCAGCCUUUGAUUUACAGAAUGUUCAAAAUGAUGUGGUAGUAGAAAAAGGUUUAUAAGAAUGUUCAUCUUAAAAUUCCAUAUAUUUUUCAGAUAAGUUAAAAACUCAAAAUGGAAAUUUAUUAAUCUCAAAUGGAUUAUAAUGAUAUGCCCUUCUACUUAAGGCACCUAAUGCAUUUACAGAGACUCUUUCUUCAGCUAUUGUGCUUUAUGUGCAUAAGAUUCAUCCACUUCUAAGGAUAUCUUAAUAUCUAUGAUUCCAUCCAACCCUUUUUCACUAUCAGCCUUUGAUUUACAGAAUGUUCAAAAUGAUGUGAUAGUAGAAAAAGGUUUAUAAGAAUGUUCAUCAUAAAAUUCCAUAUAUUUUUCAAAUAAGUAAAAAACUAAAAAUGGAAAUUUAUUAAUCUCAAGUGGAUUAUAACGAUAUGCCCCUCUUCUUAAGACACCUAAUGUAUUUCUAAUGAAAAUGUGAACAUUUAUACAGAAGAUUUAAAGAUUGGGAGGCAAACGGAUUUGUUAAACCACUUAAUCUAAAAGCUUAAAUGAAUGCAUGUGUAUAUAAUUGAUAUAUUUUCUUCAACAUGCGCUAGGUUCAUUUUUCCCCAAUCUGGCUCGAGUGGGAGGAAUCUGCCACACCACUUUCCAUAGCAAGAACCGUCAUCUUUCUUGAACCUUCAACUUCCACAAUGCCUUCCAUUCUGCCGGAGCCAAACACGUACACAAUUAAAUGAAAUGGGUGAGGUGAAACUAGAACCUAAG
Molecule: long non-coding RNA, 1348 nt
Filed under: Olea europaea (common olive)
Lineage: Eukaryota; Viridiplantae; Streptophyta; Magnoliopsida; Lamiales; Oleaceae
Description: long non-coding RNA (OEUR_LNC011225)
Source: RNAcentral